UACGUAGGGUGCGAGCGUUAAUCGGAAUUACUGGGCGUAAAGCGUGCGCAGGCGGUUUUGUAAGCCAGAUGUGAAAUCCCCGGGCUUAACCUGAGAAUGGCAUUUGGGACUGCAAGGCUGGAGUGUGGCAGAGGAGACUGGAAUUCCUGGUGUAGCAGUGAAAUGCGUAGAUAUCAGGAGGAAUACCGAUGGCGAAGGCAGGUCUCUGGGCUGACACUGACGCUCAUGCACGAAAGCGUGGGGAGCAAACAGG
RNAcentral lists this ribosomal RNA (253 nucleotides) under uncultured bacterium. RNAcentral describes it as "partial 16S ribosomal RNA". It matches the Rfam family "Bacterial small subunit ribosomal RNA", at positions 524 to 776 of the family's 1533-position model. The record is from RNAcentral.